UUUCUUUAGAAGUAUUUUAAAGGUAAUACCUGCUCAAUGAAUAUUAAAUUGCCGCAGUAUUAUGACUGUGCUAAGGUAGCAUAAUAAUUUGUCUUUUAAAUGGGGACUGGAAUGAAAGGUUUUAUGAGGGUAUGUUGAUGAUUUAAUGAACUUUUGAAGUUAAGGUUUAAGUUAAAAUUCUUAAAUUUAUUUGAGGGACGAGAAGACCCUGUGGAUCUUUAUAUUGGAUAUAAUAAAUUAUUAUAAAUGUUUUAUUAUUUUAAAAAUUUGAUUGGGACGAUUAUUAUUUUAACAUAAUUUUAAAGAUUUAUUUUGAUCCUUCUAAAGGAAUUAAGAUUAAGUUACCCCAGGGAUAACAGCGUUAUACUAUUGGAUAGUUCAUAUUGAUAAUAAUGUUUGCGACCUCGAUGUUGAAUUAAAAUUUCUUUUUAAAGCAGAAGUUAAAUUAGUAAGUCUGUUCGACUUUUAAAAUUUU
This 475-nucleotide ribosomal RNA is filed under the name Eucypris virens. Its description in RNAcentral is "partial 16S ribosomal RNA". It matches the Rfam family "Bacterial large subunit ribosomal RNA", at positions 1829 to 2597 of the family's 2925-position model. The record is from RNAcentral. Lineage: Eukaryota; Metazoa; Arthropoda; Ostracoda; Podocopida; Cyprididae.